AGCGAACGCUGGCGGCAGGCUUAACACAUGCAAGUCGAGCGGGCGUAGCAAUACGUCAGCGGCAGACGGGUGAGUAACGCGUGGGAACAUACCUCUUGGUUCGGAACAACACAGGGAAACUUGUGCUAAUACCGGAUAAGCCCUUACGGGGAAAGAUUUAUCGCCGAGAGAUUGGCCCGCGUCUGAUUAGCUAGUUGGUGAGGUAACGGCUCACCAAGGCGACGAUCAGAGCUGGUCUGAGAGGAUGAUCAGCCACAUUGGGACUGAGACACGGCCCAAACUCCUACGGGAGGCAGCAGUGGGGAAUAUUGGACAAUGGGCGCAAGCCUGAUCCAGCCAUGCCGCGUGAGUGAUGAAGGCCCUAGGGUUGUAAAGCUCUUUUGUGCGGGAAGAUAAUGACGGUACCGCAAGAAUAAGCCCCGGCUAACUUCGUG
RNAcentral lists this ribosomal RNA (434 nucleotides) under uncultured bacterium. RNAcentral describes it as "bacterial SSU rRNA". It matches the Rfam family "Bacterial small subunit ribosomal RNA", at positions 29 to 507 of the family's 1533-position model. The record is from RNAcentral.